Molecule: ribosomal RNA, 308 nt
Filed under: uncultured bacterium
Lineage: Bacteria
Description: bacterial SSU rRNA
Rfam family: Bacterial small subunit ribosomal RNA
Source: RNAcentral
AGCGAACGCUGGCGGUAUGCUUAACACAUGCAAGUCGAGCGCGAAAGUGACUUCGGUCAUAAGUAGAGCGGCGGACGGGUGAGUAACACGUGGAUAAUCUGCCUUUAGGACUGGGAUAACCCUGGGAAACUAGGGCUAAUACCGGAUAAGACCACAGGUUCCAUGGAACCAGGGGUAAAAGGCGGCCUUCGGGCUGUCGCCGAAAGAUGAGUCCGCGUCCCAUCAGGUAGUUGGUGAGGAACGGCUCACCAAGCCGAAGACGGGUAGCCGACCUUAGCGGGUGAUCGGCCACACGGGGACUGAGACAC